Long non-coding RNA from Oreochromis aureus, 383 nucleotides. RefSeq lists it as uncharacterized. The transcript has 4 exons. Lineage: Eukaryota; Metazoa; Chordata; Actinopteri; Cichliformes; Cichlidae. The record is from RefSeq and is a predicted model, not a curated record.
UACACGGACUAUGGUGGGCAUUCAGAUAUAUUGCAAUUAAUGUGUUAUUUUACAGAUGAAGACCCUGUAACUAAAGUGGGUGGUGAUGAAAGUUGCAGUUUAGAUGAACUUCCUGAAACCCUCAUAGGACAAAAUGUUGCAGAACAGUGUAUCUUCCACGUGUUCCAUAUGUGGAAGAGGCUUUAAUUACAUACAGCGAGGACAAUCUACUGGGAGAAGGGACAUUUGGCAAGGUAUAUAGAGGUUCUUUUCAUGGUACUCCAGCAGCUGUUAAAAGGAUCGUGUGUGGCCAACAAGGGAUGGAGGACAGCGACAUUCAUCAUGAGAUAAAUGUUUCACUGAGACUGUCUCACCCCAACAUCGUCAGACUAAUGGCAGUUGCC